Molecule: ribosomal RNA, 1342 nt
Filed under: metagenome
Description: bacterial SSU rRNA
Rfam family: Bacterial small subunit ribosomal RNA
Source: RNAcentral
AGAGUUUGAUCCUGGCUCAGAACGAACGCUGGCGGCGCGUUUUAAGCAUGCAAGUCGAACGGUAAUACGGCUUCGGUCGUAUGAGAGUGGCGAACGGGUGAGUAACACGUAGGUGAUCUACCUUGGGCACGGGGAUAGCCUGUGGAAACACAGAGUAAUACCGGAUACGCCUUAGUGUCUGUGGGUACUAAGGGAAUGGAGCUUAGGCUCCGGUCUGAGAUGAGCCUGCGGUCCAUUAGCUAGUUGGUGAGGUAAAGGCCCACCAAGGCGACGAUGGAUAGCCGGCCUGAGAGGGUGAACGGCCACACUGGGACUGAGACACGGCCCAGACUCCUACGGGAGGCAGCAGCUAAGAAUCUUCCGCAAUGGGCGAAAGCCUGACGGAGCGACGCCGCGUGAACGAAGAAGGCCGGAAGGUUGUAAAGUUCUUUUCUUGGGGAGGAAUAAGGAGGAGAGGGAAUGCUCCUCUGAUGACGUGAACCGAGGAAUAAGCCCCGGCUAAUUACGUGCCAGCAGCCGCGGUAAUACGUAAGGGGCAAGCGUUGUUCGGAAUCAUUGGGCGUAAAGGGCGUGUAGGCGGUUUAUCAAGUCUGGUGUAAAAAGACCCGGCUCAACCGGGGGACUGCGCUGGAAACUGGUAGACUAGAGUAUAGGAAGGGGAGCUGGAAUUCCUGGUGUAGGGGUGAAAUCUGUAGAUAUCAGGAAGAACACCGGUGGCGAAGGCGAGCUCCUGGCCAUAUACUGACGCUGAGGCGCGAAAGCGUGGGGAGCGAACAGGAUUAGAUACCCUGGUAGUCUACGCUGUAAACGAUGUGCACUAGGUGUUGGUGGGGAGAACUGCCAGUGCCGUAGCAAACGCGUUAAGUGCACCGCCUGGGGAGUAUGCUCGCAAGGGUGAAACUCAAAGGAAUUGACGGGGGCCCGCACAAGCGGUGGAGCAUGUGGUUUAAUUCGACGAUACGCGAGGAACCUUACCAGGGCUUGACAUAUGCAGGGAAUCGCCGGAGACGGCGGUGCCUCUUCGGAGGCUUGCAUACAGGUGCUGCAUGGCUGUCGUCAGCUCGUGCUGUGAAGUGUUGGGUUAAGUCCCGCAACGAGCGCAACCCCUCCUAUCUGUUGCCAGCACGUUAAGGUGGGGACUCAGAUUGUACUGCCGGUGACAAACCGGAGGAAGGUGGGGACGACGUCAAGUCAUCAUGGCCCUUAUGUCCUGGGCUACACACGUGCUACAAUGGUCGGUACAGAGUGAAGCGAGACCGCGAGGUGGAGCAAAUCACAGAAAGCCGAUCUCAGUACGAAUUGAAGUCUGAAACUCGACUUCAUGAAGGUGGAAUCGCUAGUA